CAGGAGUAGAUACCCCAAUAGUCCACGCCGUAAACGUUGGGAGCUAGACGCCGGGGCCGUUGGACGUUUGCGUGUCGCAGUUAACGCAUUAAGUUCCCCGCCUGGGGAGUACGGCCGCAAGGCUAAAACUCAAAGGAAUUGACGGGGGCCCGCACAAGCGGCGGAGCAUGCGGAUUAAUUCGAUGCAACGCGAAGAACCUUACCAAGGCUUGACAUAUACGAGAACGCUGCAGAAAUGUAGAACUCUUUGGACACUCGUAUACAGGUGGUGCAUGGUUGUCGUCAGCUCGUGUCGUGAGAUGUUGGGUUAAGUCCCGCAACGAGCGCAACCCUCGUUCUAUGUUGCCAGCACGUAAUGGUGGGAACUCAUAGGAGACUGCCGGGGUCAACUCGGAGGAAGGUGGGGAUGACGUCAAAUCAUCAUGCCCCUUAUGUCUUGGGCUUCACGCAUGCUACAAUGGCCGGUACAAAGGGCUGCAAUACCGUAAGGUGGAGCGAAUCCCAAAAAGCCGGUCUCAGUUCGGAUUGAGGUCUGCAACUCGACCUCAUGAAGUCGGAGUCGCUAGUAAUCGUGGAUCAGCAACGCCACGGUGAAUACGUUCCCGGGCCUUGUACACACCGCCCGUCAAGUCAUGAAAGUCGGUAACACCCGAAGCCGGUGGCCCAACCCGUAAGGGAGGGAGCUUCGAAGGUGCACUACAUAAUUGC
This 708-nucleotide ribosomal RNA is filed under the name uncultured bacterium. RNAcentral's name for it is "bacterial SSU rRNA". It matches the Rfam family "Bacterial small subunit ribosomal RNA", at positions 773 to 1478 of the family's 1533-position model. The record is from RNAcentral.